AUGGCCAAAACUUCAACUGGUUCUGAAAGGUUUCAUAUCCAGAUCGAAGAGCAAGCUCGUGCUACAGCAGCCACCCAGGGGCAAAACUCUCAGCUCAGCCAGCAGGUCAACGAAUUAGAAGAUCAACUACAAGCUGAACGUGCAAACACACAAGAGAGGAUUAACUUGGAGCGUGCUGAGAGAGAACAACUUGAGGAGAGGUUAAAAGAAGAGUGUGCUGAAAGGGAAGGAUUGUUGCAAGAGGAGCGAACAUCAAGACUGGAAUUUGAAAGAAACAUGAUGGCAAAGUUUGUAGAAUUGAGCCAACAGAUGGGAACCCAAUAG
Molecule: ribosomal RNA, 324 nt
Filed under: Triticum aestivum (bread wheat)
Lineage: Eukaryota; Viridiplantae; Streptophyta; Magnoliopsida; Poales; Poaceae
Description: partial small subunit ribosomal RNA
Source: RNAcentral